UCAUCUUGAUCUUCACACUCUUAGGAGAAAACAUUCUGAACUUGAGGGAGAACUUUCAAAUCUUCAUCAAAAAGAAGAGAAGUUAUUAUCUGAGACCAUUCCAGAUCUUUGUUGGGAGCUGGCUCAACUCCAAGACACGUAUAUUUUGCAAGGUGAUUAUGAUCUGAAAGUCCUGCGACAAGAAUGUUAUAUUAGUAGACAGAAAGCGGUAUUGUUGUCAACUUUAUAUGUUUGUGUAUUUGCAUUCUUUUCUUCUGCAAAUUAAUUUCUUCCUAGACUAUGAAUUUUGAAAUUAAUUAGCUCUAGCAGGCUCCCUACUGUAACCAUGUCUCAACCUCUCUUUCUUUGCAGGUCCUGUGUUCUAUUUUAUUCCUAUUCAGAAGUAAUUGUUUCGUUGUAUUAAUGUAAUAAUGUUCUAGAUGUGCUUU
This 428-nucleotide unclassified non-coding RNA is filed under the name Hevea brasiliensis (rubber tree). Lineage: Eukaryota; Viridiplantae; Streptophyta; Magnoliopsida; Malpighiales; Euphorbiaceae. The record is from RNAcentral.